This 492-nucleotide ribosomal RNA is filed under the name uncultured bacterium. RNAcentral describes it as "partial 16S ribosomal RNA". It matches the Rfam family "Bacterial small subunit ribosomal RNA", at positions 29 to 507 of the family's 1533-position model. The record is from RNAcentral.
AGUGAACGCUGGCGGUAGGCCUAACACAUGCAAGUCGAACGGCAGCACAGUAAGAGCUUGCUCUUACGGGUGGCGAGUGGCGGACGGGUGAGGAAUACAUCGGUAUCUACUUUUUCGUGGGGGAUAACGUAGGGAAACUUACGCUAAUACCGCAUACGACCUACGGGUGAAAGCAGGGGAUCUUCGGACCUUGCGCGAUUGAAUGAGCCGAUGUCGGAUUAGCUAGUUGGCGGGGUAAAGGCCCACCAAGGCGACGAUCCGUAGCUGGUCUGAGAGGAUGAUCAGCCACACUGGAACUGAGACACGGUCCAGACUCCUACGGGAGGCAGCAGUGGGGAAUAUUGGACAAUGGGCGCAAGCCUGAUCCAGCCAUACCGCGUGGGUGAAGAAGGCCUUCGGGUUGUAAAGCCCUUUUGUUGGGAAAGAAAAGCAGCAGGUUAAUACCCCGCUGUUCUGACGGUACCCAAAGAAUAAGCGCCGGCUAACUUCGUG